This is a non-coding RNA of Phascolarctos cinereus (koala), 293 nucleotides long. The record is from RefSeq and is a predicted model, not a curated record. Lineage: Eukaryota; Metazoa; Chordata; Mammalia; Diprotodontia; Phascolarctidae.
GAACAAGUCUACGCUGGCGUGAGGGUGAAUUAGUAAUUAUCAGAGUUCUGCAACCUCUCUGGCAGUGGUGACUAUUGUAAAAUGCAGCUGUGCUGCAUUGAAAAAUUGGAGGGUCCUGCCCAGGUCAUACAGUCAAUGUAUCUGCUACCUUGUUAUGUCCUCAGCAGCUGGACAACAAAAUGGGUAGUUAGUGGCGCAGCAGAGAAAACAUUGGCAUUGAACUUGUGGCCAGAAGACCUGAGUUUGAAUCCUGCCUCAUUCAUUCAAUAGAUAUGUGGCUCUGGGCUCUCUGC